RNAcentral lists this ribosomal RNA (330 nucleotides) under uncultured bacterium. RNAcentral describes it as "bacterial SSU rRNA". It matches the Rfam family "Bacterial small subunit ribosomal RNA", at positions 568 to 898 of the family's 1533-position model. The record is from RNAcentral.
UUCGUAGGCGGUGUGGCAAGUCGGGAGUGAAAUCUUUGGGCUUAACUCAGAGGCUGCUUCCGAAACUGCUGUGCUUGAGUGUGGGAGAGGCGCGUGGAAUUGCAGGUGUAGCGGUGAAAUGCGUAGAUAUCUGCAGGAACACCCGUGGCGAAAGCGGCGCGCUGGACCACUACUGACGCUGAGGAACGAAAGCUAGGGGAGCAAACAGGACUAGAUACCCUGGUAGUCCUAGCCCUAAACGAUCGGGACUUGGGGUGCCGCACUUUCGUGCGUCGUCCCGGAGCUAACGCGUUAAGUCCCGCGCCUGGGGAGUACGGUCGCAAGACUGAA